AUUUUUCGUAAUCUUUUGAAGAAUCAAAGCAUGGGAUUUAUUUUCUUGAUGGAUUAGAGGCUUGUAAUUGGAUUGGAGGAAGGCAUCUCUACACCUCUUGGAAAUUAAUUUGUAGAAUUUCAAAUCUACACUUUUGCUAUUUUUGGAGAUUCAUAGACUUUUGUGUGGCUCGCCUCAACUUGGAAGACUAGAAUUUUUUGAAGGAUCACAGGUGGGCAUCUUGUGGUUGAGGUUUUGCUUAGGGUCAUUCUAGGAUGUAAGCUUACCCUUUUUUUUAUGAAGGAGGUUGAUUGUAAAUAUUGCUUAUGAAGUUGGAUGUAUUGAUGGAUUCGUGAUUAGUAUGUAUUAUAUUUUUUUUGGGAGGAAAUGCUUGGGAACUAUCUUGUAGCAUGAUAAUAUUUUUUUGUCUUUGAAUAGAUCAUCUCAUAUAUGUUAGGCAA
This is a non-coding RNA of Camellia sinensis, 440 nucleotides long. NCBI's taxonomy places the organism in Eukaryota, Viridiplantae, Streptophyta, Magnoliopsida, Ericales, Theaceae. The record is from RefSeq and is a predicted model, not a curated record.